Molecule: ribosomal RNA, 788 nt
Filed under: uncultured bacterium
Lineage: Bacteria
Description: bacterial SSU rRNA
Rfam family: Bacterial small subunit ribosomal RNA
Source: RNAcentral
AGUNCGCUGGCGGCAGGCCUAACACAUGCAAGUCGAACGGAAACGACAAGAACAAACUCUUCGGAGGGCGAUCUUGGGCGUCGAGUGGCGGACGGGUGAGUAACGCGUGGGAAUCCACCCUUUAGUUGGGGACAACAUAUGGAAACGUAUGCUAAUACCGAAUAUGCUCUACGGAGUAAAGGUGGCCUCUACUUGUAAGCUAUCGCUAAAGGAUGAGCCCGCGUUAGAUUAGCUAGUUGGUGGGGUAAAGGCCUACCAAGGCGACGAUCUAUAGCUGGUUUGAGAGGAUGAUCAGCCACACUGGGACUGAGACACGGCCCAGACUCCUACGGGAGGCAGCAGUGGGGAAUAUUGCACAAUGAGGGAAACCUUGAUGCAGCCAUGCCGCGUGUGUGAAGAAGGCCCGAGGGUUGUAAAGCACUUUCAAUUGUGAGGAAAGGUUAGUCGCUAAUAUCGGCUAGCUGUGACGUUAACUUUAGAAGAAGCACCGGCUAACUCUGUGCCAGCAGCCGCGGUAAUACAGAGGGUGCAAGCGUUAUUCGGAAUUACUGGGCGUAAAGCGCGCGUAGGCGGACUGUUAAGUCGGUUGUGAAAGCCCUGGGCUCAACCUAGGAAUUGCAUCCGAUACUGGCAAUCUAGAGUUUAGGAGAGGGAAGUGGAAUUCCUGGUGUAGCAGUGAAAUGCGUAGAUAUCAGGAGGAACAUCAGUGGCGAAGGCGACUUCCUGGCCUAAAACUGACGCUGAGGUGCGAAAGCGUGGGUAGCGAACGGGAUUAGAUACCCCGGUAG